AUUGAACGCUGGCGGCAGGCUUAACACAUGCAAGUCGAGCGGGGGAAGGUAGCUUGCUACCGGACCUAGCGGCGGACGGGUGAGUAAUGCUUAGGAAUCUGCCUAUUAGUGGGGGACAACAUCUCGAAAGGGAUGCUAAUACCGCAUACGUCCUACGAGAGAAAGCAGGGGAUCUUCGGACCUUGCGCUAAUAGCUGAGCCUAAGUCGGAUUAGCUAGUUGGUGGGGUAAAGGCCUACCAAGGCGACGAUCUGUAGCGGGUCUGAGAGGAUGAUCCGCCACACUGGGACUGAGACACGGCCCAGACUCCUACGGGAGGCAGCAGUGGGGAAUAUUGGACAAUGGGGGGAACCCUGAUCCAGCCAUGCCGCGUGUGUGAAGAAGGCCUUAUGGUUGUAAAGCACUUUAAGCGAGGAGGAGGCUACUCUAGUUAAUACCUAGGGAUAGUGGACGUUACUCGCAGAAUAAGCACCGGCUAACUCUGUGCCAGCAGCCGCCGUAA
This 501-nucleotide ribosomal RNA is filed under the name uncultured bacterium. Its description in RNAcentral is "partial 16S ribosomal RNA". It matches the Rfam family "Bacterial small subunit ribosomal RNA", at positions 30 to 523 of the family's 1533-position model. The record is from RNAcentral.